This 253-nucleotide ribosomal RNA is filed under the name uncultured bacterium. RNAcentral's name for it is "partial 16S ribosomal RNA". It matches the Rfam family "Bacterial small subunit ribosomal RNA", at positions 524 to 776 of the family's 1533-position model. The record is from RNAcentral.
UACGUAGGUGGCAAGCGUUGUCCGGAUUUAUUGGGUUUAAAGGGUGCGUAGGCGGCCCUGUAAGUCAGUGCUGAAAUAUCCCGGCUUAACCGGGAGGGUGGCAUUGAUACUGCGGGGCUAGAGUACAGAUGAGGUAGGCGGAAUUGACGGUGUAGCGGUGAAAUGCUUAGAUAUCGUCAAGAACACCUAUAGCGAAGGCAGCUUACUAGGCUGUAACUGACGCUGAGGCACGAAAGUGUGGGGAUCAAAUAGG